Molecule: ribosomal RNA, 468 nt
Filed under: uncultured bacterium
Lineage: Bacteria
Description: partial 16S ribosomal RNA
Rfam family: Bacterial small subunit ribosomal RNA
Source: RNAcentral
GACGAACGCUGGCGGCGUGCUUAACACAUGCAAGUCGAACGGAAAGGCCCUGCUUUUGUGGGGUGCUCGAGUGGCGAACGGGUGAGUAACACGUGAGUAACCUGCCCUUGACUUUGGGAUAACUUCAGGAAACUGGAGCUAAUACCGGAUAGGAGCUCCUGCUGCAUGGUGGGGGUUGGAAAGUUUCGGCGGUUGGGGAUGGACUCGCGGCUUAUCAGCUUGUUGGUGGGGUAGUGGCUUACCAAGGCUUUGACGGGUAGCCGGCCUGAGAGGGUGACCGGCCACAUUGGGACUGAGAUACGGCCCAGACUCCUACGGGAGGCAGCAGUGGGGAAUAUUGCACAAUGGGCGGAAGCCUGAUGCAGCAACGCCGCGUGCGGGAUGACGGCCUUCGGGUUGUAAACCGCUUUCGCCUGUGACGAAGCGUGAGUGACGGUAAUGGGUAAAGAAGCACCGGCUAACUACGUG